This is an RNA transcript of Asparagus officinalis (garden asparagus), 1268 nucleotides long. RefSeq lists it as uncharacterized. The transcript is spliced from 6 exons. NCBI's taxonomy places the organism in Eukaryota, Viridiplantae, Streptophyta, Magnoliopsida, Asparagales, Asparagaceae. The record is from RefSeq and is a predicted model, not a curated record.
GAGGGUCUAAAAGUCUCCCUCUCCUCUUCGUCACUCUCGAUGCUCCCCUCUUCUUCUCUCCGUUCUCUCCGACCUACGACGAGCUCUCCACGCCGGAUUCCGACCCUUGCACGACGUAUCGGGUCGGGUCCUAUCAUACUGUCUCUACCCGCAACCCACAGUGCCCCCACGCUAAAGCUCAAUCCGUCCAUGGAAAAUUCAGAUGCGGUCCUUCACCGUGAGUCACAAUCUCCUUCCCCAAUCCAGAUGGAUAGGAACCUAGGGUUUCGUCGAGAUGCGGAACUAGGGUUUCUCUCUCUCCUCUUCGUCGUGUCUUUGGCAAUGGGAUCAUUUAUCUCAGUGGCACUUGUCUCUCUUCCUGCUCUAAAUGCAUUUAGAAAGUUAGCUAUUUCUAUGGACAAACUGAAAAAGGUAGUUUCAGAAGAAGUACCUGGAACUUUAUCUUCGUUAAAGCUUUCGAGCUUGGAGAUUAAUGAUUUGACCAGCCAGCUUAAAUACCUGAGGCAAAGAAUAUCUGGAAGUCAGUCUGGAGAGAAAAUUCGAGCAAGUAAACGAAGAUCUCAUGGAGGAAGAAUUUGAUCUCAUUAUAAACUGACCUAUAUAUUUAGGUGUCUACUAUAUGAGGCACUUACCUUCAUAACUAGCCAUAGCAGAAAUCCAGCUUCUAGAUGAUGAUCAAUGUCAAUCUUCCUGAAUGUUUCUUCAUUUGUGCAUUGUUAUCUUGAGCUUGUCCAUUAUUCACAUCAUACUAUGGCUAAGGGUAACCUUUCAAAAUUCUCCUUGAUUAAGGAAGAGCUCCAAAGUAGAGGCUUCAGGACCUGCAUUUACCUCCAGUGGACAACAUAAAUCAAGGAGCUGCACAUAGGCCUUCUGAGUGAAACUUUGAUAAGUCUUAUUACCGUCAGAGACGGAAAAAUCUUCUUUGAAAAAUAAACUUCCUGUAAUAGUAAAAAAAAUUUCACUUAGGGGUCUUUCUGCAACAAUAGAACUAGAGGCGGUCUAUCCAUAAUUGGGUGAUAGUACAGAGGGAUUUAUCUGAGAGUAAAUGCAUAGUAGUGUUAUUGAGGGGCUUAUCUAAGAAUAAAUGCAUAGUAGAUAUAUCGUUACUUUGCAGUGAGUGAAUGAAUGAAAUAGCUGAACAUCAUUCUCUCAAGUACAAAUAAAGAUAAUACCAUUGCACUUCAAGGGGCCAAUAUGUAUUAAGAUUGAAACUUUAUACAUGAGUGUAUGCUGUUUAAAUGUUCUCACUCAAAAAAAAAAAAAAAAAA